GAUGAACGCUGGCGGCGUGCCUAAUACAUGCAAGUCGAGCGAACGGACGAGAAGCUUGCUUCUCUGAUGUUAGCGGCGGACGGGUGAGUAACACGUGGAUAACCUACCUAUAAGACUGGGAUAACUUCGGGAAACCGUAGCUAAUACCGGAUAAUAUUUUGAACCGCAUGGUUCAAAAGUGAAAGACGGUCUUGCUGUCACUUAUAGAUGGAUCCGCGCUGCAUUAGCUAGUUGGUAAGGUAACGGCUUACCAAGGCAACGAUGCAUAGCCGACCUGAGAGGGUGAUCGGCCACACUGGAACUGAGACACGGUCCAGACGCCUACGGGAGGCAGCAGUAGGGAAUCUUCCGCAAUGGGCAAAAGCCUGACGGAGCAACGCCGCGUGAGUGAUGAAGGUCUUCGGAUCGUAAAACUCUGUUAUUAGGGAAGAACAUAUGUGUAAGUAACUGUGCACAUCUUGACGGUACCUAAUCAGAAAGCCACGGCUAACUACGUG
RNAcentral lists this ribosomal RNA (497 nucleotides) under uncultured bacterium. RNAcentral's name for it is "partial 16S ribosomal RNA". It matches the Rfam family "Bacterial small subunit ribosomal RNA", at positions 28 to 507 of the family's 1533-position model. The record is from RNAcentral.